UGAAAAACAGAGAAUUGACUCAGGAGGAACUGAAGUAUUCUGAAGGCUCCACAGCUAAGACAUUCACAGCUGUGAGAAGUACUGGAGAAUUUAACUUGGACUGACUCCAAGCGUGAGACACAUCAGUUUCAAGAAAUUUUGAGGGCUUCUAGCCCUCAGUGCCCACAAGAAAUACUUUUCACAUCUUAAACAUAUCAGCCCCUUCCAAACAGGGCCAUUUUAAGAAUCAUCUCCACUUCUUAGCCAAAAGAAUUCUGGGUGAAAAGAACUUCUCCAGUACACACUAAUAUCCUUCCUUUGAUUUAUAUCUCGGGUUUAUGGAAGUAUGUUUUCAAUUUUCCCUUUAAAUACCAGAUCAGGAAGUUUUGCCACAUCUUUUCCUCUCUGCCAAACAUUUCACUUGGCAAUGCUUCUGCAGUGUAUGUGCCUCUGAUCACCACAAAGAUGAUUUGAGCUUGGCAUUGCUCUAGUGCAGCACCUCUCCCUGUACUUUACCUUCUCAGUAGUCAGUCUACAGCCAAGACCCACCUCCUGGGGCACAAAAACAGCUGUCCCUUGAGAACAGCAGCAAUCUGACAUUUUUAUUGACAUCCUUCUCAUAUUCUCUUUAUAAUAAUAUCUGCCUUGUACCAAGAGUGCAGUAGGAUUAAAAAUACAUAAAACUGAGUCAAAACAAUUACAUGGAACAAAAGUGUAACCAGAGUUGCAAGGAGAAAAAAGUACAAGGAGAGAACCAAAUGUGUUCUGGAACAUUUUUUUUAAAUUAAUGCUGCCAGCAGUGGAAAUGGCAAGCCUUUCUUUCCUGUAAUAGGUAGCUGAACAUGCUAGGGAAAUGAAAAAAUAGCUCAGGGACUCUUGCAUUAGUGAAAAUGUUUGCCAUACUACUUUGGUAAGAGAAAAGGAUUUCAAAGACCUUGAGGACUGGCAUGAAGGAGAGAAAGAAAGACAGGGUAAUUUGUCCCAUUGAAAAGACACUGUGAAAUGGCACAAGCAUAAUCAAAAGAGGGAUUUCUUUCUGUGUGAGCAGGACAGAAGAAAAGCAAUUUGUUCCUUGAGAGUGAAGAGCUGUAAAGAGGGUAUACAAAAGAAUAUCUGCUCUUAGAAAGCACUUGACAAAAUAACCUUGCACUUGUGUGGAGUACUUCUGUAGCCAACAGACUGCAUGCAUCUCAGCAUGGAAAGACACUGGACUUUCACUGAAUGUCUGAGGUUGGAAAGUGCUUCUGGAGAUCACCCUGUCCAACCCCUUUGCUCAAGGAGUGCUGCCCAGAGUCUGUUACCCAGUACAAUUUGUGAAUGUUAAAUUCACAAAAAGAAUACAUGGGGUUCCGUGGUCAGGCCUCCUGUUCUAAAAACAGCAGUUUAGUGACAGGUAGAUAAAAUUCCUAAAGAAGAAUUAUCCUGUGUACUUGCAUGAAAGCAGUCUCUCAAAAGCAUUCAAAAGAGAUGCACUUAACAAUUAUUCCUGCGUGUUUUGAUCAUUUGUGUUCUGAAAUUUCUUGGUUUCAUUUAUUUGUUUAUUUACACCAGAGGACCUAUCCAAAUGAAGGAAAUGCAUCUUUCAUACCUGCGGCUACAGGUGGUAAGAAGUGAAUUUAGCGUUGUAUCUGGUGCUAAUAUUUGAACUGACAUAUCCAUAUGCAGAGUGAUGCAUCUCAUCUUCAUCUCCAUUAUUACAUGUUCCGUGGCUAUUGACCAUGAUUUGUUGAUAUUUGAAAGGUAUGCUUAACUCCCAACAGGUGAACUAUCAAUACAACACUGAA
Cyanistes caeruleus (blue tit) is the source of this 1763-nucleotide non-coding RNA. The record is from RefSeq and is a predicted model, not a curated record. Lineage: Eukaryota; Metazoa; Chordata; Aves; Passeriformes; Paridae.